CAGUGAGGAUUGACAGAUUGAGAGUCUCUUUUCUUGAUUCUGUGGGUGGUGGUGCAUGGCCGUUUUAGUUGGUGAGUAAUUUGUCUGGUUAAUUCCGUUAACGAACGAGACCUUUAACCUAUUAAAUAGUCGUGGGAACCCAGGUCUUUCAUCCUCUUUCUCAGCAAUGGGGGGGAGAAACCAUUAUCAUAUUGGUACCCUCUGGGUAUCAUGUGGUAGUGGUGAGGAUCUGAUAGUGUUCUUAUAGGCUUCUUAGAGGGACUCUUUGCAUCUUUAGCAAAUGGAAGUUUGAGGCAAAAAACAGGUCUGUGAUGCCCUUCGAUGUUCUGGGCUGCACGCGCGUUACAAUGACGCAUGCAACGAGUUAUUAAAUUCCUGGCCCGAUGGGGUUGGGUAAUCUUUUUUAAAGUGCGUCGUGAUGGGGAU
RNAcentral lists this ribosomal RNA (426 nucleotides) under uncultured eukaryote. Its description in RNAcentral is "bacterial SSU rRNA". It matches the Rfam family "Eukaryotic small subunit ribosomal RNA", at positions 1231 to 1577 of the family's 1831-position model. The record is from RNAcentral.